AGAGUUUGAUCCUGGCUCAGGACGAACGCUGGCGGCGUGCCUAAUACAUGCAAGUCGAACGAAACUUUCUUACACCGAAUGCUUGCAUUCACCGUAAGAAGUUGAGUGGCGGACGGGUGAGUAACACGUGGGUAACCUGCCUAAAAGAAGGGGAUAACACUUGGAAACAGGUGCUAAUACCGUAUAUCUCUAAGGAUCGCAUGAUCCUUAGAUGAAAGAUGGUUCUGCUAUCGCUUUUAGAUGGACCCGCGGCGUAUUAACUAGUUGGUGGGGUAACGGCCUACCAAGGUGAUGAUACGUAGCCGAACUGAGAGGUUGAUCGGCCACAUUGGGACUGAGACACGGCCCAAACUCCUACGGGAGGCAGCAGUAGGGAAUCUUCCACAAUGGACGCAAGUCUGAUGGAGCAACGCCGCGUGAGUGAAGAAGGUCUUCGGAUCGUAAAACUCUGUUGUUAGAGAAGAACACGAGUGAGAGUAACUGUUCAUUCGAUGACGGUAUCUAACCAGCAAGUCACGGCUAACUACGUGCCAGCAGCCGCGGUAAUACGUAGGUGGCAAGCGUUGUCCGGAUUUAUUGGGCGUAAAGGGAACGCAGGCGGUCUUUUAAGUCUGAUGUGAAAGCCUUCGGCUUAACCGGAGUAGUGCAUUGGAAACUGGAAGACUUGAGUGCAGAAGAGGAGAGUGGAACUCCAUGUGUAGCGGUGAAAUGCGUAGAUAUAUGGAAGAACACCAGCGGCGAAAGCGGCUCUCUGGUCUGUAACUGACGCUGAGGUUCGAAAGCGUGGGUAGCAAACAGGAUUAGAUACCCUGGUAGUCCACGCCGUAAACGAUGAAUGCUAGGUGUUGGAGGGUUUCCGCCCUUCAGUGCCGCAGCUAACGCAAUAAGCAUUCCGCCUGGGGAGUACGACCGCAAGGUUGAAACUCAAAGGAAUUGACGGGGGCCCGCACAAGCGGUGGAACAUGUGGUUUAAUUCGAAGCACCGCGAAGAACCUUACCAGGUCUUGAAUCCUUUGACACACUAAAGAUUAAGGUUUCCCUUCGGGGAAAAAUGACAGGUGUGCCAGGGGUGUCCUCAACUCUGGCCCGAGAAAUUUGGGGUAAAUCCCCGCACCAACGCCACACCUUGUGUGCAUUUGCCACCAUAAAUUUGGGGCCUCUGGGGAAAAUCCGGGUGACACACCAGAAAGAGGGGGGGACGACGUCAAGUCAUCAUGCCCCUUAUGACCUGGGCUACACACGUGCUACAAUGGACGGUACAACGAGUCGCGAGACCGCGAGGUUUAGCUAAUCUCUUAAAGCCGUUCUCAGUUCGGAUUGUAGGCUGCAACUCGCCUACAUGAAGUCGGAAUCGCUAGUAAUCGCGAAUCAGCAUGUCGCGGUGAAUACGUUCCCGGGCCUUGUACACACCGCCCGUC
RNAcentral lists this ribosomal RNA (1418 nucleotides) under uncultured bacterium. RNAcentral describes it as "bacterial SSU rRNA". It matches the Rfam family "Bacterial small subunit ribosomal RNA". The record is from RNAcentral.